This 831-nucleotide long non-coding RNA is filed under the name Struthio camelus australis. Its description in RNAcentral is "lncRNA (ENSSCUG00000014265.1)". Lineage: Eukaryota; Metazoa; Chordata; Aves; Struthioniformes; Struthionidae. The record is from RNAcentral.
GGAACAUUCUGUGUGUAGGUAGCACAGAAGGUAGAAAAUUAAGUUUUAUACCUCAGAGUAGCUAGGGAGAAAGGUUAUCUGUCUUGAGGUUAUGUUCUUUUCUGUCUGUGAACAUGUGAUUCUAUUGAUGUUAAUUGGAUCCAAAUGUCUUCGGGCUUUAAGGAUUUAAAACUUAUUUCCGAAUCUUGCAUCUCAGAUCACAUCCUAUGCUGCCAGUUCUGGAGGAAAGAGAGGAUCUCCAGCUGCCCUUCAGUCAAAUUAGAAUUUGAUUAAACCUGUUGGGUUUGUUCUCCAAAGAGAAGCACUGACCUGCUCAGUCCCACGUGUACCGGCUGGUGCCAAGGCAGAAAACGGUUGAAGGGGCCAGAGACGAUCAGACUAAAGGAGGAACUUUGACAUUGGAAGGAGGAAUUCUCCAUGCCCAGACAGCAAAGCGGAGGAGGAUUGUAUCAGCCUCUUUCCCCUGGGGCUCAGUCCUGGGAUAUUUGCAGCCGCAAGCUUUGCGCAGGGUGCUCCGGCACAGCGUACGCGCUCCGGGGAGCGGGAGGCACCACGCGCGGCAGCGAGUGUCCCGGAGGCAGCGAGCGAGAGGAAGGCGCGCGGCCCCGCUCCAGAGUGAGCGCAGAGCCUUUGAGUGCCUAUGUUAAACUCGCGGAGGGGAAAGACCUAUCUAGUGUGAGUACAAAAAAGAUGCGUGUGUAUCCUGAGAUGAGUGCAUUAUGGAUAAAGAACUAUUAUCAUUCUUCCCACAUUCACAUUUCCAUCCACUUAGGAGAUAUAUACGUGUGCCUUGUUAGCAAUGAUGUUAUAAUGCAAAAGCUAAAGUUUUCA